Molecule: non-coding RNA, 452 nt
Organism: Plasmodium falciparum Vietnam Oak-Knoll (FVO)
Lineage: Eukaryota; Apicomplexa; Aconoidasida; Haemosporida; Plasmodiidae
Source: Rfam
UCCGCUGAAUAAAACUGCUAAAAUAUAAUUAAGCGGAAGAAAAGAAAAUAACUAUGAUUCCUUUAGUAACAGCGCGUGAAAAAGGAUAAGCUCAAUUUAGAGAAUCCUUCGAUUUUUUUUUAAAGGAAUUGUUGGAAUUGUUUCUUUUUUUUAUAUAAUAUACUCUAUAUGAUAACUGUUCUUUGGAUUAUAUAUUACGUAAUGUGUAUAUACAUCUAUUUUACAGGUACACAAGAGCAAGGAUAUUAAAAAAUAUAUAGGAAAUAUAAUGGAAAAUUGUCCCAAAGAGGGUGAAAGGCCCGUACUUGUUUUUAUAUCUACCUUGUGCUUAAAUUAGAGUUAAAAAUAAAGAAUGAGUUGUGUUUUAUGAAUAUGGGACACUAAUACGUGUGAUGGAUUUCACAUAAAGCUAAAUAUGUGUAGGAGACCGAUAGCAAACAAGUACCGUAAGG